CCUACGGGUGGCAGCAGUGAGGAAUAUUGGUCAAUGGCCGAGAGGCUGAACCAGCCAAGUCGCGUGAGGGAAGACGGCCCUACGGGUUGUAAACCUCUUUUGUCGGGGAGCAAAGAGAGUCACGUGUGACUCAUUGAGGGUACCCGAAGAAAAAGCAUCGGCUAACUCCGUGCCAGCAGCCGCGGUAAUACGGAGGAUGCGAGCGUUAUCCGGAUUUAUUGGGUUUAAAGGGUGCGUAGGCGGAAGGUUAAGUCAGCGGUAAAAUGUCGGUGCUCAACACCGGCCUGCCGUUGAAACUGGUCGUCUUGAGUGAGCGAGAAGUAUGCGGAAUGCGUGGUGUAGCGGUGAAAUGCAUAGAUAUCACGCAGAACUCCGAUUGCGAAGGCAGCAUACCGGCGCUCAACUGACGCUGAGGCACGAAAGCGUGGGGAUCGAACAGGAUUAGAUACCCCUGUAGUC
This 459-nucleotide ribosomal RNA is filed under the name uncultured bacterium. Its description in RNAcentral is "partial 16S ribosomal RNA". It matches the Rfam family "Bacterial small subunit ribosomal RNA", at positions 338 to 795 of the family's 1533-position model. The record is from RNAcentral.